CCUACGGGAGGCAGCAGUGAGGAAUAUUGGUCAAUGGACGAGAGUCUGAACCAGCCAAGUAGCGUGAAGGAUGACUGCCCUAUGGGUUGUAAACUUCUUUUAUAUGGGAAUAAAACGUUCCACGUGUGGGAUUUUGUAUGUACCAUAUGAAUAAGGAUCGGCUAACUCCGUGCCAGCAGCCGCGGUAAUACGGAGGAUCCGAGCGUUAUCCGGAUUUAUUGGGUUUAAAGGGAGCGUAGGUGGAUUGUUAAGUCAGUUGUGAAAGUUUGCGGCUCAACCGUAAAAUUGCAGUUGAAACUGGCAGUCUUGAGUACAGUAGAGGUGGGCGGGAUUCGUGGUGUAGCGGUGAAAUGCUUAGAUAGCACGAAGAACUCCGAUUGCGAAGGCAGUUCACUGGACAGCAACUGACACUGAGGCUCGAAAGUGUGGGUAUCAAACAGGAUUAGAUACCCCAGUAGUC
RNAcentral lists this ribosomal RNA (460 nucleotides) under uncultured bacterium. RNAcentral's name for it is "partial 16S ribosomal RNA". It matches the Rfam family "Bacterial small subunit ribosomal RNA", at positions 338 to 795 of the family's 1533-position model. The record is from RNAcentral.